RNAcentral lists this ribosomal RNA (497 nucleotides) under uncultured bacterium. RNAcentral describes it as "partial 16S ribosomal RNA". It matches the Rfam family "Bacterial small subunit ribosomal RNA", at positions 28 to 507 of the family's 1533-position model. The record is from RNAcentral.
GAUGAACGCUGGCGGCGUGCCUAAUACAUGCAAGUCGAGCGAACAGACGAGGAGCUUGCUCCUCUGACGUUAGCGGCGGACGGGUGAGUAACACGUGGAUAACCUACCUAUAAGACUGGGAUAACUUCGGGAAACCGGAGCUAAUACCGGAUAAUAUAUUGAACCGCAUGGUUCAAUAGUGAAAGACGGUUUUGCUGUCACUUAUAGAUGGAUCCGCGCCGCAUUAGCUAGUUGGUAAGGUAACGGCUUACCAAGGCAACGAUGCGUAGCCGACCUGAGAGGGUGAGCGGCCACACUGGAACUGAGACACGGUCCAGACUCCUACGGGAGGCAGCAGCAGGGAAUCUUCCGCAAUGGGCGAAAGCCUGACGGAGCAACGCCCCGUGAGUGAUGAAGGUCUUCGGGUCGUAAAACUCUGUUAUGAGGGAAGAACAAAUGUGUAAGUAACUAUGCACGUAUUGACGGUACCUAAUCAGAAAGCCACGGCUAACUACGUG